ACUUUCUGCAAAUCCACUAAUGCUUUUAUUCAUCAGUGGAUUUGUAGAAAGCUU
Molecule: microRNA precursor, 54 nt
Filed under: Hydra vulgaris (swiftwater hydra)
Lineage: Eukaryota; Metazoa; Cnidaria; Hydrozoa; Anthoathecata; Hydridae
Description: Hvu-Mir-3012_pre stem-loop
Source: RNAcentral